AGAUGGAGAAAGCACCAGAAAGACGAGGGUGAUGUAAUCGACGGAAACAGCCGAGUGCUCCUGUUCGGUGAAUUCCGGAGGAGGAAGAAGUACUGAGCGACACCAGCUGAUCAAAGUGCUCAACUAUCCAGUAAUGUCCCAAGAUCUGCAGAGUGGAUUGGCACAAAAUUUAGUCCAGACUUUCAUGGUUCCCGGAUAAUGUAUCCUCAUGACUUUGAUGACCCCCUGACUCUCCAUCUCGUGGCAGCAGCAAGGCUGACUGCUGCCUGCUGCUGUUGCUUUUCUCAUCACUCAUGUUGCUCAUUGGGUGAAAUCACCACAGCAAAACGUAGGCAGCCAAUCCAUGAUCAGAACACAUGAGACCAUCACAGGCUGGAUGUAUAUGUAAGAGACACA
Epinephelus lanceolatus (giant grouper) is the source of this 396-nucleotide long non-coding RNA. RefSeq lists it as uncharacterized. The record is from RefSeq and is a predicted model, not a curated record. NCBI's taxonomy places the organism in Eukaryota, Metazoa, Chordata, Actinopteri, Perciformes, Serranidae.